AUGAAAAGAGAGGUGCUAGGAGAUCUUAGCCAGUGGAUAAUGAAGCAUUAUGACCCUGAGAUCUCAUAGAUAGUCAUUCCAGAAAGGGGGAAGAUUCCUGUAGAUGCCGCAAGUGUUCGCAGGAUAUGGGGUUUGCCAAAUAGGGGCAGGAAGGUGUGCUUCAACAAUCAGCAUGAAAUCACAAAGGCAAUGUACAGUAUUUACAACAUCACAUCCAAGAACUCCCCAACCCUCACAGAAUGGUGCAAGAUGAUCAUAGACAUGGGAGAAUCUUAUGAUGAUGACUUUCUCCGUGCUUGGCUAGCUCUUGUUUUUUCGUGCUUCCUUGCCCCCUCAACUAGUUUAAGUAUUCCCCAAAAUACUUCCCGGCGGUCAUGGAUGUCAAUGAAAUAA
Molecule: ribosomal RNA, 393 nt
Filed under: Triticum aestivum (bread wheat)
Lineage: Eukaryota; Viridiplantae; Streptophyta; Magnoliopsida; Poales; Poaceae
Description: partial small subunit ribosomal RNA
Source: RNAcentral